RNAcentral lists this ribosomal RNA (271 nucleotides) under uncultured bacterium. RNAcentral's name for it is "partial 16S ribosomal RNA". It matches the Rfam family "Bacterial small subunit ribosomal RNA", at positions 524 to 794 of the family's 1533-position model. The record is from RNAcentral.
UACGAGUGGUCCAAGCGUUAUCCGGAAUUAUUGGGCGUAAAGGAUGUGUAGGUGGUUGUAUUAGUCCGACGUCUAACCUCUGUGCUUCACAUGGAGACUGCGUUGGAAACGGUACGACUAGAGUAUGUUAGGGGUAAGCGGAACUAAUAGUGUAGGGGUGAAAUCCGUUGAUAUUAGGAGGAACACCAGUGGCGAAGGCGGCUUUCUGGACAGUAACUGACGCUGAGGCGCGAAAGCGUGGGGAGCAAACAGGAUUAGAUACCCGGGUAGU